AGGAGAUCUUGCUGGAGAUCCCUGUCUAUCUGAGACUUUCAAAAGAACACUGAUGAGGCUGAGCAACCAUAGCAUGCAAACUCCUCCUUGUGAAGACUAAGGAAUAAUGGAUGCAAUGAGAGCUUCAAGUGAAUGCAUCUUGAAAAAUGUAAGUUACAAAGGCUACUACUAAAUGGAACACUCAGCAAUAUCUCUUUUCAGUCAAAAAUUCAGAUUAUUUUGCCUCCAUGUCAAUCUGCCUGCAGAUCUUCUGAUUCUACAGAGACACAUAGGGCUCUUGCUUGGACAGAUUAUCACAGCAGGCAGAUAAACAAUAGAACUAUUUUUAAAACUUCACAUUUCUCAAAUCUGUUUUCACCUGGUACUCAGCUGUUGCACCCACACUU
Numida meleagris (helmeted guineafowl) is the source of this 386-nucleotide long non-coding RNA. RefSeq lists it as uncharacterized. The transcript has 3 exons. Lineage: Eukaryota; Metazoa; Chordata; Aves; Galliformes; Numididae. The record is from RefSeq and is a predicted model, not a curated record.